GACGAACGCUGGCGGCGUGCUUAACACAUGCAAGUCGAACGGAAAGGCCCUGCUUUUGUGGGGUGCUCGAGUGGCGAACGGGUGAGUAACACGUGAGUAACCUGCCCUUGACUUUGGGAUAACUUCAGGAAACUGGGGCUAAUACCGGAUAGGAGCUCCUGCUGCAUGGUGGGGGUUGGAAAGUUUCGGCGGUUGGGGAUGGACUCGCGGCUUAUCAGCUUGUUGGUGGGGUAGUGGCUUACCAAGGCUUUGACGGGUAGCCGGCCUGAGAGGGUGACCGGCCACAUUGGGACUGAGAUACGGCCCAGACUCCUACGGGAGGCAGCAGUGGGGAAUAUUGCACAAUGGGCGGAAGCCUGAUGCAGCAACGCCGCGUGCGGGAUGACGGCCUUCGGGUUGUAAACCGCUUUCGCCUGUGACGAAGCGUGAGUGACGGUAAUGGGUAAAGAAGCACCGGCUAACUACGUGCCAGCAGCCGCGGUGAUACGUAGGGUGCGAGCGUUGUCCGGAUUUAUUGGGCGUAAAGGGCUCGUAGGUGGUUGAUCGCGUCGGAAGUGUAAUCUUGGGGCUUAACCCUGAGCGUGCUUUCGAUACGGGUUGACUUGAGGAGGGUAGGGGAGAAUGGAAUUCCUGGUGGAGCGGUGGAAUGCGCAGAUAUCAGGAGGAACACCAGUGGCGAAGGCGGUUCUCUGGGCCUUUCCUGACGCUGAGGAGCGAAAGCGUGGGGAGCGAACAGGCUUAGAUACCCUGGUAGUCCACGCUGUAAACGGUGGGUACUAGGUGUGGGGUCCAUUCCACGGGUUCCGUGCCGUAGCUAACGCUUUAAGUACCCCGCCUGGGGAGUACGGCCGCAAGGCUAAAACUCAAAGGAAUUGACGGGGCCCCGCACAAGCGGCGGAGCAUGCGGAUUAAUUCGAUGCAACGCGUAGAACCUUACCUGGGUUUGACAUGGAUCGGGAGUGCUCAGAGAUGGGUGUGCCUCUUUUGGGGUCGGUUCACAGGUGGUGCAUGGCUGUCGUCAGCUCGUGUCGUGAGAUGUUGGGUUAAGUCCCGCAACGAGCGCAACCCUUGUUCACUGUUGCCAGCACGUUAUGGUGGGGACUCAGUGGAGACCGCCGGGGUCAACUCGGAGGAAGGUGGGGAUGACGUCAAGUCAUCAUGCCCCUUAUGUCCAGGGCUUCACGCAUGCUACAAUGGCUGGUACAGAGAGUGGCGAGCCUGUGAGGGUGAGCGAAUCUCGGAAAGCCGGUCUCAGUUCGGAUUGGGGUCUGCAACUCGACCCCAUGAAGUCGGAGUCGCUAGUAAUCGCAGAUCAGCAACGCUGCGGUGAAUACGUUCCCGGG
RNAcentral lists this ribosomal RNA (1343 nucleotides) under uncultured bacterium. Its description in RNAcentral is "16S ribosomal RNA". It matches the Rfam family "Bacterial small subunit ribosomal RNA", at positions 28 to 1378 of the family's 1533-position model. The record is from RNAcentral.